RNAcentral lists this ribosomal RNA (468 nucleotides) under uncultured Sphingobacteriales bacterium. RNAcentral's name for it is "bacterial SSU rRNA". It matches the Rfam family "Bacterial small subunit ribosomal RNA", at positions 912 to 1382 of the family's 1533-position model. The record is from RNAcentral. Lineage: Bacteria; Pseudomonadati; Bacteroidota; Sphingobacteriia; Sphingobacteriales.
GACGGGGGCCCGCACAAGCGGUGGAGCAUGUGGUUUAAUUCGAUGAUACGCGAGGAACCUUACCUGGGCUCAAAUGUAUGUUGACGUAUUCUGAAAGGGGUACUUCUUCGGACAAUAUACAAGGUGCUGCAUGGUUGUCGUCAGCUCGUGCCGUGAGGUGUCGGGUUAAGUCCCAUAACGAGCGCAACCCCUAUCAUUAGUUGCCAUCAGGUCAAGCUGGGGACUCUAAUGAAACUGCCUACGCAAGUAGUGAGGAAGGUGGGGAUGACGUCAAAUCAGCACGGCCCUUACGUCCAGGGCUACACACGUGCUACAAUGGCCGGUACAAAGGGCAGCUACUUCGCGAGAAGAUGCUAAUCUCGAAAGCCGGUCUCAGUUCGGAUCGAAGUCUGCAACCCGACUUCAUGAAGCUGGAAUCGCUAGUAAUCGCAGAUCAGCCAAGCUGCGGUGAAUACGUUCCCGGGCCUU